GAUGAACGCUGGCGGCGUGCCUAAUACAUGCAAGUCGAGCGAACAGACGAGGAGCUUGCUCCUCUGACGUUAGCGGCGGACGGGUGAGUAACACGUGGAUAACCUACCUAUAAGACUGGGAUAACUUCGGGAAACCGGAGCUAAUACCGGAUAAUAUAUUGAACCGCAUGGUUCAAUAGUGAAAGACGGUUUUGCUGUCACUUAUAGAUGGAUCCGCGUCGCAUUAGCUAGUUGGUAAGGUAACGGCUUACCAAGGCAACGAUGCGUAGCCGACCUGAGAGGGUGAUCGGCCACACUGGAACUGAGACACGGUCCAGACUCCUACGGGAGGCAGCAGUAGGGAAUCUUCCGCAAUGGGCGAAAGCUUGACGCAGCAACGCCGCGUGAGUGAUGAAGGUCUUCGGAUCGUAAAACACUGUUAUUAGGGAAGAACAAAUGUGUAAGUAACUAUGCACGUCUUGACGGUACCUAAUCAGAAAGCCACGGCUAACUACGUG
RNAcentral lists this ribosomal RNA (497 nucleotides) under uncultured bacterium. RNAcentral's name for it is "partial 16S ribosomal RNA". It matches the Rfam family "Bacterial small subunit ribosomal RNA", at positions 28 to 507 of the family's 1533-position model. The record is from RNAcentral.